Molecule: long non-coding RNA, 3040 nt
Organism: Haemorhous mexicanus (house finch)
Lineage: Eukaryota; Metazoa; Chordata; Aves; Passeriformes; Fringillidae
Exons: 2
Source: RefSeq, a predicted model, not a curated record
UUCUAUGUGUUUUAAGUGAUGUCCGUCCCUCUUGCAAAAAGCCUGGUGAUUCUGUGGGUGUCUGACAUCUCCUUUUUAUUUGUCAGCUGAGAGACUGGGCUGUUUGAUGUGUGUUUGGCAGCAGAUUUAAUGAGAGCACCUGAUGGAGAAGUAGCUCUGCUUAUCUACACUGAGCUCAAGAAAGACAAGGAGCUACUGGAGAGGGUCCAGAGGAGGCCACAAAGAAGAAGAGGGGUCUGAAGCCACUUGCUUAGGAGGAGACACUGAGGGAGCUGGGCCUGUUUAGUCUACAGAAGAUUGAGGAGAUCUCAUUAAUGCAUAUAAAUGUCUCCAAGGGAUGUCAGAGGAUGGUGCCAGACUCUUUUCAGUGGUGCACGGUAACAGGAAAAGAAGCAAUGGCCGUAAAAUGAAACACAAGAGGUUCCAUCUCAAUAUGAGGAAGAAGUUUUUUCCAUGGAAGGUGGCAAAGCACUGGAACAGUGCCCAGGGAGGGCCUGGAGUCUGCAUCUCUGGAGACAUUCCAAACCCACCUGGACACCUUCUUGUGUCGCCUGCUCCAUGUAACCCUGCCUGGGCAAGGGGGUUGGACUGGGUGAUCUCCUCCCAAGCUGUUACUCAGUGAUUCUGUGAACAGCAAUAUUAGUACUAAUAAUUAUUAUAAUUCCCCUGACCCUCACAGUAGGGGUAGGAAUUGGAUAGAUUUGCCCAGCAGCUGCUGUCUGGGCUGUGAUGGUAGCUCUCCUCACACCUGAUGGGGCACUACAGUGCACUCUGAGGGUACUAGGGGACCAUCCUGCCUUUUAUCCCCUCACACACCCCUGAUCCCAUUUCCUGCCUUUUUCCUCUCAUGCAACCCCAGCUCCUGUUUCCCAUCAUUUUUCCCAUCACGCAUCCCCAGUCAAACUAGUUUCCUGCCUUUUCCCCCUUGCACACCCCUGGCCUCCGUUUCCCACCUUUAUCCCCCCCAAUGCAUCCUUGGGUCCGUUUCCCGCCUUUUUCCCCUCACACACCCCUGGGUCCAUUUCCCUUUUUCCCCUCACACUCCCCUGGGUCUGUUUCCCGCCUUUUUCCCCUCACGCAUCCCCGGUCCGUUUCCCUUUUUCCCCUCAUGCACCCACAGCCCCCAUGACCCCCUGGCAUGGGGCUGCUGUGACAAACUCAUCGUGGGAUGAAGCUGUCAGACAGGAUGGAGUGUGUCACCCUCAGAGAUGUGUCCUGUGGCUCACAGAAUUCCAUGACCAUGCCCGGACUGUGGCCAGGGACUGAAGCGGCCCGUGAUCCACCAGGGAUGCUGAGGUGAGGCUGAGGGAGAUGGCGGCCAUGCCACACUCAAGUGCUGCCUUGUCCCUGUCCCAGCUGUAGCUUUGCUUACACUUCUCCUCAUUGCCCACAGCACAACAAGCUUCAUGCAAGUUUAUGUUUGGUUUAAAGACCAGAUUUUGACAUGUAUUUAAGUGUUAACCUCCGUGUGGGGCUCAGAACUGGCCCUGCCCUGUGGGGCUGGCCUAGCCCCUCAGCCUGACUUUACUUUUUCCAGCCCCUCAUUGAUGUAAAUUUGCUUUUAAACCUCCUGCCACCCCUAAACCUGCUUUCAUUUUUAUCCACUCAGCUCAUUGAAUGCUUUUGUUUCUCUUUUUCUUUUCUCCUUUCCUCAAGCCCCUCUGUCUGUUCUCCCUUCCCCUGCUUUGCCUUAGCUCUCUCUCAGCUGUAGUUACUGAAGUCUGAAACAGGAUAGUGGGAAUUCUCCCUCCUAGACAAAAAGUUGUUUUUUAAAGAAAAGCGCUCCUUGUUUUUGAUAAAAGAGGGCAUAUCUCUUUUUUCCCCCUCCUCAAUUUCUCUUCACCUCCACAUGGACCUGGUGCUACCUGUGGCACCUUUCCAUUGUCUCAGUCUCCCUUUACUUUGUAUAUUUCUGCAUAAUUUCAUACAGCCAUGGUUGCAAUCUGUGUUAAAGGCACACCCAUCUAAAAUUUCAGGAGAGAAAACUUGUUUCUUCACACCUGUACCAUCCACUGGGCUGUGAAACAGAGUAUGAAUUUUCCCAUUUAUGUUACAUUUGUCCCUAAAAACUCAGAUCUUGGACCUGGAUCCCACUAAGCAAAAGCAUCUCAAAUAUAUGGACUUUGCUUUGAUAAACAUGCAUUUACUUUUUCAACCAUAGGAGUUGUAAACUUGCUUGAAAGUUGCUGAAAACCCCUAUGUUGCUAAAGAAAGCAUUUGUCCUCAUUCCAAUAUCCCAGCCUGCUGCCAGCAGCAGAUGAGGUUUGCUUGCAGGAGAUAAAUUAUUUAUGGAAAGGUGUACAUGCUAUCUGAUCUGAAUCAUUACUGUGAUAAGUUUAUAUUUAGAACCUUUUAUAAUAUCAAAAUAGCACCAGCAUCAGUUAAGCUUUUUUUUCCUUUAGUAGGUACUUAAAAUUUUUGUUGUUAUCUCUAAAUGAGCCCAGGUUAGUUGUGCUCAUGAACCUUCAUCUCGAUGCAUGGAAACCCAGCCCUAUGCUGAAAAGUAAUUAUUUUAUAUAAAUAUAUAUAAACAACGUUCUCCUGCUUUGCUUAAUGAUGCCUGGGAAGACGAGUUCUCGGUGCUCAACAGGCUUUUAUCCUGUCCUGCUUUUUUUUAAAUUCAGGCUGGGUUCUCCCUGUAUCUUGUAUAUUCCUGUUUUUAAAACCUUGGCAGUUGGAAGUGAAAUGAUUUACAGGUGAUACAUGAACUCAAACAGAAAUGCCAAAUGUUCAGAGUUCUAACAUUAGGUGUUCAGCAAUUGUGUGCCAGGUCCACUUCUAAAAUAAUGCUAAAUUUAAAAAUAACUGAGAAUGUGCUUGUUUAUCAUGUGACGAUGGACCAAUGAAGUCUCAAAGUUCUGAGUUCCUCUUUACAAUUGCAGAGGUUGAAUUCUUCUUACUUGUGUAAAAACUGCAUAACUAUCUUACUCCAGCAGCUCAAAAAAAAAGCCCCACAAAUGUUCUCAGACCCAUGAAAACAUUGUGGGAGUUGACGACUGACAGCGACUGCAAGACGAGUGAAAUAAAAAUCAAACUUCAA